This is a long non-coding RNA of Cercocebus atys (sooty mangabey), 451 nucleotides long. RefSeq lists it as uncharacterized. The transcript has 3 exons. The record is from RefSeq and is a predicted model, not a curated record. NCBI's taxonomy places the organism in Eukaryota, Metazoa, Chordata, Mammalia, Primates, Cercopithecidae.
GGAAGAAGGGAAAUCUCUUUAAGAAGAGGAAAGUGAGGAACAGAAAGGGAAGAAACUGCCCGUCCUUAUUGCAAAGAAGCUGCAGGAAGAAGGGAAAUCUCUUUAUGUUUAAGAAGAGGAAAGUGAGGAACAAAAAAGAAAGAAACUGCCCGUCCUCAUGGCAACAGAAAGUUCUAGUGAUGCAUUUUGCUGCAUCUCUCCAAUUCUCAUCCAUGUAAGGAGAGAGGAAACAGUGUGAGUAGAGUCUGAAUACCUCAGUCUCCACCCUAUGCCUUAGGAAAGGUGUGACUGAAGUCUGGCUUGGAUAGGGCAGCUGGUACAGAGAGGGAAUAUGGAAAAACCAAGGGAAGGAGAACGGAGUGGUUGAGAGUUCAGGAAUCAGGUACUGGGCUUCCCCGUCCAAGAAGAUGGAUGCCUUUUAAGGGGUUCCAGUGGGAUGCAGAGCUCUCCU